GACGAACGCUGGCGGCGCGCCUAACACAUACAAGUCGAACGGAGCUUAAAGAGCUUGCUUUUUAAGCUUAGUGGCGAACGGGUGAGUAACGCGUGAGUAACCUGCCCUGGAGUGGGGGACAACAGUUGGAAACGACUGCUAAUACCGCAUAAGCCCACGGAUCCGCAUGGAUCUGCGGGAAAAGGAUUUAUUCGCUUCAGGAUGGACUCGCGUCCAAUUAGCUAGUUGGUGAGGUAACGGCCCACCAAGGCGACGAUUGGUAGCCGGACUGAGAGGUUGAACGGCCACAUUGGGACUGAGACACGGCCCAGACUCCUACGGGAGGCAGCAGUGGGGGAUAUUGCACAAUGGGGGAAACCCUGAUGCAGCGACGCCGCGUGGAGGAAGAAGGUUUUCGGAUUGUAAACUCCUGUCGUUAGGGACGAUAAUGACGGUACCUAACAAGAAAGCACCGGCUAACUACGUGCCAGCAGCCGCGGUAAAACGUAGGGUGCAAGCGUUGUCCGGAAUUACUGGGUGUAANGGGNGCGCCGGCGGUUCGGCCNGUUGGAUGUGNNNNCUNUGGGCUCCAACCCCUUAAAAUGCUUUUCAAAACUGCUGGCCUUGNGUNGUGCAGAGGUAGGGGAAAUUCCCGGUGUAGCGGUGGAAGGCGUAGAUAUCGGGAGGAACACCCGUGGCGAAGGCGCCCUACUGGGCACCAACUGACGCUGAGGCUGAAAAGCAUGGGUAGCAAACAGGAUUAGAUACCCUGGUAGUCCAUGCCGUAAACGAUGAUUACUAGGUGUUGGAGGAUUGACCCCUUCAGUGCCGCAGUUAACACAAUAAGUAAUCCACCUGGGGAGUACGACCGCAAGGUUGAAACUCAAAGGAAUUGACGGGGGCCCGCACAAGCAGUGGAGUAUGUGGUUUAAUUCGAAGCAACGCGAAGAACCUACCAGGUCUUGACAUCCGAUGCAUAGUGCAGAGAUGCAUGAAGUCCUUCGGGACAUCGAGACAGGUGGUGCAUGGUUGUCGUCAGCUCGUGUCGUGAGAUGUUGGGUUAAGUCCCGCAACGAGCGCAACCCUUAUUGCCAGUUACUACGCAAGAGGACUCUGGCGAGACUGCCGUUGACAAAACGGAGGAAGGUGGGGAUGACGUCAAAUCAUCAUGCCCUUUAUGACCUGGGCUACACACGUACUACAAUGGCGUUUAACAAAGAGAAGCAAGACCGCGAGGUGGAGCAAAACUCAAAAACAACGUCUCAGUUCAGAUUGCAGGCUGCAACUCGCCUGCAUGAAGUCGGAAUUGCUAGUAAUCGCGGAUCAGCAUGCCGCGGUGAAUACGUUCCCGGGCCUUGCACA
RNAcentral lists this ribosomal RNA (1341 nucleotides) under uncultured bacterium. RNAcentral describes it as "bacterial SSU rRNA". It matches the Rfam family "Bacterial small subunit ribosomal RNA", at positions 28 to 1387 of the family's 1533-position model. The record is from RNAcentral.